RNAcentral lists this ribosomal RNA (306 nucleotides) under Escherichia coli. RNAcentral describes it as "bacterial SSU rRNA". It matches the Rfam family "Bacterial small subunit ribosomal RNA", at positions 141 to 449 of the family's 1533-position model. The record is from RNAcentral. Lineage: Bacteria; Pseudomonadati; Pseudomonadota; Gammaproteobacteria; Enterobacterales; Enterobacteriaceae.
GGAUAACUACUGGAAACGGUAGCUAAUACCGCAUAACGUCGCAAGACCAAAGAGGGGGACCUUCGGGCCUCUUGCCAUCGGAUGUGCCCAGAUGGGAUUAGCUAGUAGGUGGGGUAACGGCUCACCUAGGCGACGAUCCCUAGCUGGUCUGAGAGGAUGACCAGCCACACUGGAACUGAGACACGGUCCAGACUCCUACGGGAGGCAGCAGUGGGGAAUAUUGCACAAUGGGCGCAAGCCUGAUGCAGCCAUGCCGCGUGUAUGAAGAAGGCCUUCGGGUUGUAAAGUACUUUCAGCGGGGAGGAA